CAACUCAGUCUCCGGGGCGACGCGGUACGCUUCGGAAAGGUUUAUUUGGCAAGGCUGUGUUUGCGUUCUGGAGGAGAGACUCGGCUGGUAAAAUGUGUAUUCAGCGUGACUCAAGGCAUGGUCGUGGGCCCCGGACCGUCCAGAGAAGGCCAGGAGUGUUGACAGGGGCGCGGUGCAGGAUGUCUCGUCGAGGUGUUAGCGGCUCGCAGCAACAGCAUCAACAACAACAACAACAACAACAACAACAACAACAACAACAACAACAACAACAACAACAACAACAACAACAACAGAAAGACGCAUCAACGAAAGUCACGUACGUGCUGUUGUUUUCAAGGGCCUCGCCUCGUGUGGAUCUGGAGCGUGAACCGUGUGGAAACGCCGCCGUGCGAGGAGAAGCCUGUCCGACCUGUUGCUGGCCAGGCAGUAAGCGAGGAAGCCCUUCACUGGGGGCUACAUUGAAGGUACGUUUAGGGACAUGGGAGAGCGUCCGCCCAUUACGUCCGCCAUUUCACACCCUUACUCCCCUACUUCCACCGAAAGGACCCCAUCACCAGAGGAGCCCCCUUGAUUUCCCUUGCAAGUUGACCAGGUUGCAUCCCGUCCGUCGUCCCUCACCAGUCAGCUCGGGCAGUUGACUUGUGAUGGUCGUCGUCGUGUAAGUGUUCCAGAAGUCGUGCCUCAUUGGUUUGCCGCGACAGUAACAACUUUUGGACGCGGGAAGAUAACAGCUCAUUCCCCCUGCCAUGCAAUUGAUACUGCUACUGUUGCUGCUUCAUUCAGAGGCUCUCCUACGUGACGACGACCCAAUGACUCGCCUUCGAACCAUCAGGGGCUUGCAGAUGCUUCGGAUUGACAAGUCUGUGGAUGUAUGAUAAAGUCCAAUGAAAUAUAUGGGGCUUCAGUUAUAUUUACACAAUAAUAAAAGUUCAAGCAUAA
RNA transcript from Eriocheir sinensis (Chinese mitten crab), 939 nucleotides. RefSeq lists it as uncharacterized. NCBI's taxonomy places the organism in Eukaryota, Metazoa, Arthropoda, Malacostraca, Decapoda, Varunidae. The transcript is spliced from 5 exons. The record is from RefSeq and is a predicted model, not a curated record.